Molecule: unclassified non-coding RNA, 738 nt
Filed under: Hevea brasiliensis (rubber tree)
Lineage: Eukaryota; Viridiplantae; Streptophyta; Magnoliopsida; Malpighiales; Euphorbiaceae
Source: RNAcentral
GCCUGAGCCUGAGCCUGAGCCGGAGCCGGAGCGGGAGCGGGAGCAUUCUUGGAAUAACCAAUUUCCUCCCAUCUCCGCCGAGACGAUGGCCUUGGUAGGUUCUCUGGCACAAUGGUCUCUAGUGCAUUAAGACGCCAGGGAGGGCACAUUCUUCUGUCGCUCCAUCUGUGACCCUUCGGUAUCUGCUUUGAUUCUACGAGUGACAAUCGCAAAUCUUGGGCCGUGGCAAGAUUUCCUUGGCUCGCCAAAUCCAUUUCAAGCCCAAUUAUGAUGCAGGCCAUGCCCAGUACACAUUGGCUUCUCCAUUUCUCGUUCUUAAACCUUUAAACCGUAAAAUUAAUAAAAUUGUAUGUGUAUGUAGAGAUUUUGUACAUAAAUUAUUAAAAAAGAGUGGUUAAAAAAGAGUUGGUUGAAGGAUCUUGACUUACCAUGCAACUUCAGUAUUCUUUGUAUUGGAAGAGGCCUGGAGGCUUGAAGGACGAGAGGUUGGAGUUGGAGGGGGAAGAUUGAGGCAGCAACUGGCAGCAAUAGCCAUAUUCUAUGUUUCUGUAACCUUUCGUUGAAGUAGAGGGGCCUCUAGCCUCUCUCUCACUAUUUUAAGGUUCAAGUAAAAAAUAUUGGGAGACACAGAGAUGGGCUUCAAAUUUGUUGUAUAAAUAACUUUAAAGACCAAACCCAAUAGACCUUAGGGUAUACAGGAAGGAAGGUUUGUUUUCUUUCUGGGGUUGGUCAAGUCGG